UGGCGCCACCGCGCGGUGCUUAGCGGUAGUCCUCGGCCUCGCCCUGGGGCGGCGCGGCGGCGCCUCAGCUGGCGAUUCGAGCUCUGCGGGUUUUGAUUAUUUGCUGUUUUAUUAGAGCGCAGUAAACGUCCCAUAAACACAGUUCAGAGCUGCCUGGGAAGAGAAAAGCCAAAGGACGCCACCCUCCAGGCCUGGCCCCAGCAACCUCAGGGAAAUUGCCGGUCAGGGCGCCCUGGGUCCUGGUCAGGCGUCGCUGCGCGCGACUUCGCAGCGGAGGCUCUACGUGGCACUGGGCUAGGUGUGGAAGGCGCGGCCAAAAACAGUCAUGCCUGUCCUACCCCCUUCCCAGACGGAAAACGCUGAGCACGAUGAGCGGCCACGUCGUACUACCGACCGGGGGGCCGUGGCUUGGGGGCUCGAACCCAGGCCGCUCUUUGAUUUCCGUCUUCGAGAUUUAUUUAUCUGAAGGGCAGAGUGACAGAGAUCCUACCCAAAUGGCUGCUGAAGCAUGGAGCCAAGAAAUUUCAUCUGGGUCUAACACGUGGGUGGCAGAGACUCAGGCCAUUUGCAGGGAGCUGAAUUGGAAGUGGAGCAGCUGAGACAUGAACUGGCGGCUUUAACCACUACACAACAACGCCAGCCCCUCCAUUUUUCUUUCUUUGUAGUGAGUGUUAAAUAAAAAAAAAAAAAUUAAUGAGCAAAUGUUCCAGUUCUUACUUUAUUAAUGUUUCAACUGUUUCUAAAACUAAUUUUUUUGACAGGCAGAGUGGACAGUGAGAGAGAGAGACAGAGAGAAAGGUCUUCCUUUUUGCCAUUGGUUUACCCUCCAAUGGCCGCCGCGGCCGGCGCAUGGUGCUGAUCCAGUGGCAGAAGCCGGGUGCCUAUCCUGGUUUCCCAUGGGGUGCAGGGCCCAAGCACUUGGGCCAUCCUCCACUGCACUCCCUGGCCACAGCAGAGAGCUGGCCUGGAAGAGGGGCAACCGGGACAGAAUCCGGCACCCUGACCGGGACUAGAACCCGGUGUGCCGGUGCUGCAAGGCAGAGGAUUAGCCUAGUGAGCCGCGGCGCCGGCCUCUAAAACUAAUUUUUAAAAAAGAUUUAUUUAUUUGAAAGAGUUACACAGAGAGAGAAGGAGAGGCAGAGAGAGAGAGGUUUUCCAUCAGCUGGUUCACUCCCUAAUUGGCCACAAUGGCCACAGCUGUGCCAGUCUGAAGCCAUGAGCCAGGAACUUCCUCUGGGUCUCCCACACGAUUACAGGGGCCCAAGGACUUGGGCCAUCUUCUACUGCUUUCCCAGGCCAUAGCAGAGAGUGGGAUCGGAAGUGGAGCAGCCAGGACUUGAACUGGCACCCAUAUGGUUUGACAGCACUGCAGGUGCUGGCUUUUACCAGCUACGCCGCAACACCAGCCCCUAAAACUAAUUUUUUUUAUGCAACACAUUUUGAGAUUAUGUAAUCUUCUUUGUAAUUUUAAUUUUCCUUUAUUAUGCUACCAAAGAUUUCUGAUGAAACUAAAAUAUUUUAUA
Molecule: non-coding RNA, 1523 nt
Organism: Oryctolagus cuniculus (rabbit)
Lineage: Eukaryota; Metazoa; Chordata; Mammalia; Lagomorpha; Leporidae
Source: RefSeq, a predicted model, not a curated record